This 1244-nucleotide long non-coding RNA is filed under the name Homo sapiens (human). RNAcentral's name for it is "long intergenic non-protein coding RNA 2826". Lineage: Eukaryota; Metazoa; Chordata; Mammalia; Primates; Hominidae. The record is from RNAcentral.
GGAUUACCAUCACACCCAUCCAUGAAGAUAACCCCAAGGCUCAUGGUUCUGUGCAAAAGGAGUAGAUAUCUGAACAAGAUUUUGACUCUAUUGGGAGCAAAAGAGGAUGAUGGUUGCUGGGAAGGUUACCAACAAAGAUCACUACACUGGCCCAACUUACUGUUGACACAGUAAAGUGUCCCGCACUUGUAUGCUAGGAUUAUUAUCACAGAUUUGGCUUCUGACACACUCAUUGCUUUGGAGAGGAUGGUUAAGUCAGAAAAAAGACUUUUGAGACUCAAAAUUCUGGACCCCGAUUCUGCUUGGAGCCAAGAUAAAGUUGUGUUUGCUCCAGGUUAUCGGCAUUGUGCCUGCACUGAAUAAAAACAAGCAGCUCCAACUUCUCAGGGCUGCUCUCUGGCCACUAGAGCCAGGCAGUCACCUAGCUGCUGUUAUGCUGCAUACCUGUCUCUGAGUACUCGCUUCAUCCAUCGGCCAGGGUCUGUGGGACAGACCAGGCAGGUGGUGCCCCAUGUGAGGAACGCUGCAAUGGAUUGCAAGGGAACCCCUGAAAACAAAUGUGAAGUGACUGAGCAGUGUUAACCUUAGAAGACUAGAACCUAAUGAGUUAUGGCAAACAGAUGUUAUGCACGUCCCUGAAUUUGGAAAACUAAGGUCCUCUUUGGAUUCCAGCACGAGGCAUCAAACCAUACCAUGGCAUGGCUAGGACCCAACCCGGUACCAAAAUGAAGAAAAUGACCCUACAGGACCCACAAUCCCGGAUGAUGUGGCUUCCUUGGAUGACACAGGCCCUGGACAUUACCUGGGGGAUGCUGAAGAAGACAACUCAGGAGGCCAAGCAAAUCCUGCUCCAGGCACAGACACCAUUCACUCCAGGAAGCUGCCAUUCAUUCGACAUAAGUAGGUGCUUCAUCUGAUAAGCGCUGCUUGUGUAAUUUAUCAAUGACAGAGAAGGCAGAUAGCAGCAUGCAUACUUGGGGCUGCAUUUGAAGGAGAGCAACAUCCCUUUGUUUUCACAGAGGAGAACAAGCAUGAGUUGAGAUUGUGGUGCUUCUUGAAGUCUCAUCCAGAUCAGAAACCUGCUGCUCUGUCCACAUUCCAUCCACCAAAGCAACCCAUAUGGCCAUGUCCAGCAUCAGAUGGGGAAAGGCAGUUCUCCUCUAGCACGAGGAGCUGCAAAGCCACAUGGCAAAGGAUGAGUGUGUAAAAAAUAAAUGCAGGAGGGCAGGAGGCAUUGGGAACAA